AUUGAACGCUGGCGGCGUGCCUAACACAUGCAAGUCGAGCGGCAGCGCGGGGGCAACCCUGGCGGCGAGCGGCGGACGGGUGAGCAAUACAUAGGAAUCUGCCUCAGAGCGGGGGAUAGCCAGGGGAAACCCUGAUUAAUACCGCAUGAUGUCGAGAGACCAAAGUGGGGGACCGUAAGGCCUCACACUCUGAGAUGAGCCUAUGUCGGAUUAGCUAGUUGGCGGGGUAACGGCCCACCAAGGCGACGAUCCGUAGCUGGUCUGAGAGGACGAUCAGCCACACCGGAACUGAGACACGGUCCGGACUCCUACGGGAGGCAGCAGUGGGGAAUAUUGGACAAUGGGCGAAAGCCUGAUCCAGCGACGCCGCGUGGGUGAAGAAGGCCUUCGGGUUGUAAAGCCCUUUAAGCCGGGACGAAAAAGCUACACCUAACACGUGUGGCCUUGACGGUACCGGAAGAAUAAGCACCGGCUAACUCUGUGCCAGCAGCCGCGGUAA
Molecule: ribosomal RNA, 499 nt
Filed under: uncultured bacterium
Lineage: Bacteria
Description: bacterial SSU rRNA
Rfam family: Bacterial small subunit ribosomal RNA
Source: RNAcentral